RNAcentral lists this ribosomal RNA (228 nucleotides) under uncultured bacterium. RNAcentral describes it as "partial 16S ribosomal RNA". It matches the Rfam family "Bacterial small subunit ribosomal RNA", at positions 524 to 751 of the family's 1533-position model. The record is from RNAcentral.
UACAGAGGGGGCAAGCGUUAAUCGGAAUUACUGGGCGUAAAGCGCGCGUAGGCGGCUUUGCAAGUCGGGUGUGAAAUCCCCAGGCUUAACCUGGGAACUGCAUUCGAGACUGCAUUGCUAGAGUAUGGGAGAGGGAAGUGGAAUUUCCGGUGUAGCGGUGAAAUGCGUAGAUAUCGGAAGGAACAUCAGUGGCGAAAGCGACUUCCUGGACCAAUACUGACGCUCAUG